Molecule: long non-coding RNA, 480 nt
Filed under: Marmota monax (woodchuck)
Lineage: Eukaryota; Metazoa; Chordata; Mammalia; Rodentia; Sciuridae
Source: RNAcentral
GAAUUGACCUUAAGUAAAAUGAGGAGAAAAGAACAAAAGCAAUUUCAUCACAAUAAUUUCUAAGAUUUUGUGAUUCAUCUACAGGUUUUCAAAAUUUGUACUAUAAAUGUUUAAGAUAUCAUAUUUUUAAUUGCACUUACAUUUUAUAUAACUGGCAUAUAUCCUUUUCUAUUCUGUAUAAAAUCAUAAAUUUCAAACUCCAGAUAUAAUAAAGGGUUACAUGUCUAGUAACAUUUCACAGUGAAUAUUGUGAUCUUUUAAGUGUUUCAUCCUACAUGUUACCACUAUUUUCUGAGAGAUGCUUUACAUUUUGAAGUCAAACAUUUCAGCAUGAAACUAGAGAUGGAUACAUGUUACAAAUUUAAAAGCAUCACUGGGAUUUAAGGCAGAGAAUUGGGAGAAUGGACUUAUAAGUGCAACAAUAAUAAAUGGGCCAAAUAUAAAAAAAAAAAGACUCCAUUGAUGGAGUACUAUGCAGCU